GUUUUUAAGUAUUGUCAAGUUCCUUCCUGAAGGGUUGUACCCAUCUUCGUCCCCCCAGCAGUGUGUGGGGGUGUUUCCCGCAGCCUUGCUAGCAGAAUGCUCGCGCUCUCUAGUCUGCCAGUCUGAUAGUGGCUGCCCAGUUGUCCUGGCACCACUUAAGAAAAGUCCAUCUUUGCCCCAGGGAGUUGAGACGUCACUUUUAUCAGGUACUAAAUCGCAUGAAGUCACCUUUAAAAAUCCAUCUUUGCUCUCGUUGUGCUUGGUCAUGGUGUGGUUGGUCUCAUGCUGUCUGUUCAUUGCCUGAGGGCCCAGAUUCGUGCUUGUUCUUCUGAAAGAAUAACUACCGCACCAAUAAUCUUGAAAGCCAGAGGAACUCACCUUCUGGCCAUGUAUGUAUGAAACACUGUCACCUGAACUGAACCCACAGCUCUGAGACGCUGCCCCUCGGGAAGACGCUGCGGUGUCUGUCUGCUCUGGACGAAGCUUCCUCCGUGAGUCUCGGGCUGCUCUGGAAGCACUGUGUGGAAAGCUUGAGCAUCGGCCUCCUGAGCACCGGCUCUGACAAGGGUCCUUGUUGGUUCCUUGAAUGUUUCCUGAGUUCAGCCGCUGGAUCCAGGUUGGCGUUCUGUGAUGCUGUGAUUACUGCCAGAGCAGAGUCAUCAGAAUUAUGAGGCAGGUUAACUUUCGUGGGCACCUACGCCCCGAGUACAGAGUUGCCAGGUGACAAUGAGAUCCCAUUAAAAUCUGGAAUCUGGGAACUAUGUCCAGAUGCUGUCCUUCCAGAAAGACUUCACACUGAUGUGAGGAGGAGCCGUCCUGCAGAGUCCUCCCGUCUUCGCAGCAAACGGGGAGCUGUCUGGAGGAGUAGAACAUGGGGCUGAUGCAACACGGGCCUUUU
This 898-nucleotide long non-coding RNA is filed under the name Equus asinus (donkey). Its description in RNAcentral is "lncRNA (ENSEASG00005032951.1)". Lineage: Eukaryota; Metazoa; Chordata; Mammalia; Perissodactyla; Equidae. The record is from RNAcentral.